RNAcentral lists this long non-coding RNA (448 nucleotides) under Marmota monax (woodchuck). The record is from RNAcentral. Lineage: Eukaryota; Metazoa; Chordata; Mammalia; Rodentia; Sciuridae.
AGCAACUCAAACCAAGCAGCCUGCACGAUUAGGUGGCUUUCAGUAGCUGGUUCCAAAGCGCGUUCGCAGGUGCUCUGCGCCAACGCUGGCCAUUCUUCCCUGGAACUGCUGGCUGCUUUCCUCCCUCCUGUUACGUGGCAGAGUUCCAGGGAGCCUCCACGCUUGACCAGACAUCUCCUUCGUGAUGUCUCCUUUUCCACAGUUUCUUGGGUACUCUUGUGCAUUUAGACCUCCAAGGUGAUUUUCAAAUCAACUUUCAAGGCAUAGAGCUCUCUAUGUGUGGAAAUGGGACCCCCUCCAGGAGACGGGACCCUCCAGGAGACGUUACUCGGAGGAGAGCAGCGCUGUAACAUUCAGCUGUGUACAUGAGGCAGGAGGGAGCAACAGAGCCCUCCUGCAGCUGCUCAUAUCUGCAGACGUACUCUUCAGGGAGGACACCUGAGCCAAC